CCUUCGAUAGCUCAGUUGGUAGAGCGCAAGACUGUAAUUGGAUAUCUCCUGUUGAUCUUGAUGUCACCUGUUCGAUCCAGGUUCGAAGGA
Clavulina sp. PMI_390 is the source of this 90-nucleotide non-coding RNA. The record is from the annotation of a GenBank genome assembly. NCBI's taxonomy places the organism in Eukaryota, Fungi, Basidiomycota, Agaricomycetes, Cantharellales, Hydnaceae.